This 253-nucleotide ribosomal RNA is filed under the name uncultured bacterium. RNAcentral describes it as "partial 16S ribosomal RNA". It matches the Rfam family "Bacterial small subunit ribosomal RNA", at positions 524 to 776 of the family's 1533-position model. The record is from RNAcentral.
UACGUAGGGUGCAAGCGUUAAUCGGAAUUACUGGGCGUAAAGCGUGCGCAGGCGGUUUUGUAAGUCUGAUGUGAAAUCCCCGGGCUCAACCUGGGAAUUGCAUUGGAGACUGCAAGGCUAGAAUCUGGCAGAGGGGGGUAGAAUUCCACGUGUAGCAGUGAAAUGCGUAGAGAUGUGGAGGAACACCGAUGGCGAAGGCAGCCCCCUGGGUCAAGAUUGACGCUCAUGCGCGAAAGCGUGGGGAGCAAACAGG